UACGAAGGGGGCAAGCGUUAUUCGGAUUUAUUGGGCGUAAAGGGCGUGUAGGCGGCUGGGUAAGUCUGGUGUGAAAACGCUACCGCUUAACGGAGCGAGGUCGCUGGAUACUACCCAACUUGAGUCUGAGAGAGGUGAGCAGAAUGCCAGGUGUAGCGGUGGAAUGCUUAGAUAUCUGGCAGAAUACCUGAGGCGAAGGCGGCUCACUGGCUCAGUACUGACGCUAAGGCGCGAAAGCGUGGGGAUCAAACGGG
This 254-nucleotide ribosomal RNA is filed under the name uncultured bacterium. RNAcentral describes it as "partial 16S ribosomal RNA". It matches the Rfam family "Bacterial small subunit ribosomal RNA", at positions 524 to 776 of the family's 1533-position model. The record is from RNAcentral.